GAUCAUGGCUCAGGAUGAACGCUAGCUACAGGCUUAACACAUGUAAGUCGAGGGGCAGCAUGUUGGUUGCUUGCAACCAAUGAUGGCGACCGGCGCACGGGUGAGUAACGCGUAUCCAACCUACCCUUGUCCAUCGGAUAACCCGUCGAAAGGCGGCCUGACACGAUAUGCGGUUCACAGCAGGCAUCUAACGUGAACGAAAUGUAAAGGAGAAGGAUGGGGAUGCGU
RNAcentral lists this ribosomal RNA (228 nucleotides) under uncultured bacterium. Its description in RNAcentral is "partial 16S ribosomal RNA". It matches the Rfam family "Bacterial small subunit ribosomal RNA", at positions 15 to 236 of the family's 1533-position model. The record is from RNAcentral.